UACGAAGGGGGCUAGCGUUGUUCGGAAUUAUUGGGCGUAAAGGGAGCGUAGGCGGUUCGGCAAGUCUCUAGUGAAAUCUCUGGGCUCAACCCAGAGUCUGCUGGGGAAACUGCCGGGCUUGAGUAUGGGAGAGGUGAGUGGAAUUCCCGGUGUAGCGGUGAAAUGCGUAGAUAUCGGGAGGAAGACCUGUGGCGAAAGCGGGUCACUGGGCCGGUACUGACGGUGAGGAGCGAAAGCGUGGGGAGCGAACAGG
RNAcentral lists this ribosomal RNA (253 nucleotides) under uncultured bacterium. RNAcentral's name for it is "partial 16S ribosomal RNA". It matches the Rfam family "Bacterial small subunit ribosomal RNA", at positions 524 to 776 of the family's 1533-position model. The record is from RNAcentral.